GACGGGACUGGGAGAGGGAAGGCGGAGUUACAAGAGGGAGGUCGGCCCCAUCUUGAAAUUCGAGUAAUCCCCGAGGAAAAGAGACAAAGCGGGACGAGGGGGAAGGGGAGAAGAAAGACGCGGAGGCCGGGGCUGGUGACGGCCUUACAAGUAGAGAUCACUCAUCCAAAGGAGCAGAUUAGCCGACGACGCUGCUUUCCGGGAGAGUUUCUGUCGCGGCCGCUCGGAGGGAGACGACGAGGAGGAGUUCCGGCGUGGCCUAUGGAGGGGUGACCUUUCCUCAGGACCGACUUCGAGGAGGACCAGGCGCCGAGCGCUGUUCGCCGCGCUGGGGGACGGACGGGCUCGGGAGGCCCUCGGGCCUCGCCCCCGUUUCCCAGAUGAGGAGACUGAGGCACCGAGAAGAAUAACGCCGGUGAGGCAGCCGAGGCCCGGAGAAGAAUAACGCUG
Molecule: long non-coding RNA, 450 nt
Organism: Ornithorhynchus anatinus (platypus)
Lineage: Eukaryota; Metazoa; Chordata; Mammalia; Monotremata; Ornithorhynchidae
Exons: 4
Source: RefSeq, a predicted model, not a curated record